Molecule: ribosomal RNA, 497 nt
Filed under: uncultured bacterium
Lineage: Bacteria
Description: partial 16S ribosomal RNA
Rfam family: Bacterial small subunit ribosomal RNA
Source: RNAcentral
UCUGCCCGCUGGCGGCGUGCCUAAUACAUGCAAGUCGAGCGAACAGACGAGGAGAUUGCUCCUCUGACGUUAGCGGCGGACGGGUGAGUAAAACGUGGAUAACCUACCUAUAAGACUGGGACAAACUCGGGAAAACGGAGCUAAUACCGGAUAAUAUAUUGAACCGCAUUGUUCAAUAGCAAAAGACGGAUUUGCUGUCACUUAUAGUAGGAUCCGCGCCGACUUAGCAUGAUGGUAAGGUAACGGUUACCCAAGGCAACGAUGUGUAGCCGACCUGAGCGGGUGAUCGGCCACACUCGAGCUGAGACACGGUCCAGACUCCUACGGGAGGCACCAGUAGGGAAUCUUCCGCAAUGGGCGAAGGCCUGACGGAGCAACGCCGCGUGAGUGAUGAAGGUCUUCGGAUCGUAAAACUCUGUUAUUAGGGAAGAACAAAUGUGUAAGUAAGUAUGCACGUCUUGACGGUACCUAAUCAGAAAGCCACGGCUAACUACGUG